AAAAUGGGGAUCCGUACCUGAUCCGAGGUCACCUGGUUAAAAGAUUGGUUGCGAGGCUAGCUGCCAGCUGGACCUACGGGAGCGGGUGACAAAGCCCCAUACGCUCGAGGACCAGACAUGGUGCCGCCACUGCCUUUUGGGCCCGUCCCCGUUGCCAGGGACGGAAGCCCAACACACAAGCCGUGCUUGAGGGCAGCAAUGACGCUCGGACAGGCAUGCCCCCCGGAAUACCAGGGGGCGCAAUGUGCGUUCAAAGACUCGAUGAUUCACUGAAUUCUGCAAUUCACAUUAAUUAUCGCAUUUCGCUGCGUUCUUCAUCGAUGCCGGAACCAAGAGAUCCGUUGUUGAAAGUUUUAACGAAUGGUUAACUAAAAACUCAGACUGAAAAGUUCAUACAGCGUUCAAAUGUGAAUCUCCGGCGGGCCCGGAGGCAACUGAAACGGACCGGGAAGGUAGUGAAUAUAACGGGGGGGAGGUCGGAGCGGGUAGGGAUGCGCGCUGAACUGUGCGUAUGUAAAGCCGGAAAAACGGGCCCUCUGGGUCCAACCUCCAUCGUGUCUAUCUGUACCUGUUGCUUCGGCGUGGCCCGGCCCGCGGAGAAUAACAUUUGAACGCUGUCUGAAGUUUGCAGUCUGAGUUUUUAUUUAAACAAUCCUUAAAACUUUCA
RNAcentral lists this unclassified non-coding RNA (667 nucleotides) under Aspergillus amstelodami. Its description in RNAcentral is "sequence contains ITS1, 5.8S rRNA gene and ITS2". Lineage: Eukaryota; Fungi; Ascomycota; Eurotiomycetes; Eurotiales; Aspergillaceae. The record is from RNAcentral.